ACAGAAACCCACCCCCUCCAUAUUCUUCUCGUCUCUCCGCCUUACCGCUGCAACCAAGGCCACCGUCUACCUUCUUUCUUCUUCUUCUCUCUGUCGCACAGGCACACCGCUCACCGCCGCACUCCCGCACCGCCGGACAGCUGCACAACCGCACACUCGCGCCGCCUGACAGCCUCACUGCCUCACCACUGCACAGCGGCACCGCCGCCACGACCUACCUUAGCUUGAAGAUGUUCUUGUUUCUUUUGGUGGAUGCAAUGGUCGGUAUUGUAAUGAGGUCAAUGUACUCAAACUAAGCCACAAAUCAACCUUGCAAUCAAAGAUGGUUGAGAUUCCAGUUCUGCUGUUCAUAAUGCUACAAAUGCAACCAGAGAUAUGGAAUCAGAACAUUGAAACCAGCCAAGAAAGAAAAAUUAGUGAAAUUGUGAUGGACAAUGAUUCACAGCCAAUGGUGAAAAAGGUUGAAGAAACAAGUGAACAUCUUUUAUCAGCCCUUAAGGCAGAGAAGGAAGAACUAGAGUCAUCUCUCAACAAAGAAAAAUUGCAAAUGCUUCAGUUGAAGCAGGAGUUAGCAGAUGCGGAGACUCGCAAAUUCAUGAAUAUGGUGAGGGGUGAGUGGUGGCUAUUGGCGCCUUUUCCUUCCCUUUUCUCUCUCCUGCGGGUCUCACAAAAAAUCACCAUUUGUAGGAGGAGCUAAAAAAUUAUCUCUUAUCCCUCUCUCUCAUCCACAUAAGCAUUAUUUGUCUAAAAAAUUAUGAAAAACCAACUAAUGUGGUUAACCUUA
This is an RNA transcript of Ipomoea nil (Japanese morning glory), 784 nucleotides long. It is a transcript of the gene named acyl-CoA-binding domain-containing protein 4-like, with no coding region annotated. Lineage: Eukaryota; Viridiplantae; Streptophyta; Magnoliopsida; Solanales; Convolvulaceae. The record is from RefSeq and is a predicted model, not a curated record. The transcript has 4 exons.